Molecule: ribosomal RNA, 253 nt
Filed under: uncultured bacterium
Lineage: Bacteria
Description: partial 16S ribosomal RNA
Rfam family: Bacterial small subunit ribosomal RNA
Source: RNAcentral
UACGUAGGGGGCAAGCGUUGUCCGGAAUCAUUGGGCGUAAAGCGCGUGUAGGCGGCCACGUUAGUCCGUUCUGAAAGCCCUGGGCUCAACCCCGGGAGGCGGAUGGAUACUGCGUGGCUCGAGUCCGGAAGAGGCGAGUUGAAUUCAUGGUGAAGCGGUGAAAUGCGCAGAUAUCAGGAGGAACACCAAUGGCGAAAGCAGCUCGCUGGGACGUAACUGACGCUGAGACUCGAAGGCGUGAUAAGUAAACAGG